Molecule: ribosomal RNA, 497 nt
Filed under: uncultured bacterium
Lineage: Bacteria
Description: partial 16S ribosomal RNA
Rfam family: Bacterial small subunit ribosomal RNA
Source: RNAcentral
GAUGAACGCUGGCGGCGUGCCUAAUACAUGCAAGUCGAACGAACGGACGAGAAGCUUGCUUCUCUGAUGUUAGCGGCGGACGGGUGAGUAACACGUGGAUAACCUACCUAUAAGACUGGGAUAACUUCGGGAAACCGGAGCUAAUACCGGAUAAUAUUUUGAACCGCAUGGUUCAAAAGUGAAAGACGGUCUUGCUGUCACUUAUAGAUGGAUCCGCGCCGCAUUAGCUAGUUGGUAAGGUAACGGCUUACCAAGGCAACGAUGCAUAGCCGACCUGAGAGGGUGAUCGGCCACACUGGAACGGAGACACGGUCCAGACUCCUACGGGAGGCAGCAGUAGGGAAUCUUACGCAAUGGGCGAAAGCCUGACGGAGCAACGCCGCGUGAGUGAUGAAGGUCUUCGGAUCGUAAAACUCUGUUAUUAGGGAAGAACAUAUGUGUAAGUAACUGUGCACAUCUUGACGGUACCUAAUCAGAAAGCAACGGCUAACUACGUG